RNAcentral lists this transfer RNA (73 nucleotides) under Pyrinomonadaceae bacterium. RNAcentral's name for it is "tRNA-Phe". It matches the Rfam family "tRNA". Rfam says of the family: Transfer RNA (tRNA) molecules are approximately 80 nucleotides in length. Their secondary structure includes four short double-helical elements and three loops (D, anti-codon, and T loops). The record is from RNAcentral. Lineage: Bacteria; Pseudomonadati; Acidobacteriota; Blastocatellia; Blastocatellales; Pyrinomonadaceae.
GGCCAGGUAGCUCAGUUGUUAGAGCGCUGCCCUGAAAAGGCCGGCGUCGGCGGUUCGAUUACGUCCCUGGCCA